This 548-nucleotide ribosomal RNA is filed under the name uncultured bacterium. RNAcentral describes it as "bacterial SSU rRNA". It matches the Rfam family "Bacterial small subunit ribosomal RNA", at positions 777 to 1319 of the family's 1533-position model. The record is from RNAcentral.
AAUAGAUACCCAGGUAGUCCACGCUGUAAACGAUGAGUACUAAAGGUUGGUAGGGGAACCUAUCAGUCUUGAAGCUAACGCGAUAAGUACUCCGCCUGGGAAGUACGGCCGCAAGGUUGAAACUCAAAUGAAUUGACGGGGGCCCGCACAAGCGGUGGAGCAUGUGGUUUAAUUCGAUGCAACGCGAAGAACCUUACCUACCCUUGACAUCCUGCGAACCCUGGUGAGAGCUAGGGGUGCCGAAAGGAGCGCAGAGACAGGUGCUGCAUGGCUGUCGUCAGCUCGUGUUGUGAGAUGUUGGGUUAAGUCCCGUAACGAGCGCAACCCUUGUCCUUAGUUGCCAGCAAGUAAAGUUGGGGACUCUAAGGAGACUGCCGGUGAGGAACCGGAGGAAGGCGGGGACGACGUCAAGGUCAUCAUGGCCUUUAUGGGUAGGGCUACACACGUGCUACAAUGGGGCGUACAGAGGGGUAGCGAACCUGGCGAAAGGGGGAGCCAAUCUCAGGAAAGCGUCUCGUAGUCCGGAUUGGAGUCUGCAACUCGACUCC